AAAAGGCGGGAAGGGCAAGGAGGGGGGGAAGGGUGGCUUUGAGGUGAGGGGUUGGGGAAGGGGGUUUAUCUGUGAGGGAAAACUAAGCCGGGGGUCCAAGGAAAGCCCACGUGCUGUAGGUUUUUUUUUUAAUGUGGGAAAUGUGAGGAAGAAACAGGAGGAAAAGACGCCAGGAAGAGCCUGAGGAAGAGGAGAAGGGAGGAAGGUCGCCUUUCUGAGGGGUUUUCUUAGAGGGGGGGCAGGUGGAGGUCGAGGUCCACAGGAAAAGCGAAAAGGGGGGAAAAGGCGGCGAGGAGCAUCCCCUGAGGGGAAGAGAAGAGAAGCAUCCCCUGAGGGGAAGCCUCUUCGUUUAUUUAGACGAGGCGAGAGAAGCGGGGCCUCAGGAGGGAAAGGGAAAGGGCAGGAGGAGGGAGAGAAGGCUCGGGGAGAAAGCGCAGACCCGCCGUAAAUAAGACGGGUGCUUGUUUGUUUGUAAAGCGGGGGGGAGAUAAUUAGUUUAUUCCCAGUUCUGGAGGCCCUUCCGACGGAAGACGAAGGGCUAAAGAAGACCCGGGCCCUGAGAGAAGGCAGAGCAAGGCGCUCAGGGCUCAGCCAGCCCGGACCAAGGAAGCCGUGGCCUCCCCCCCAAGCCAGCCCUCCGAGGGGGGUAAAAACCUUGGGGAAGAAAGGGAGGAGGCCAUGCGGAGGGGCCGAGGAAGGGGAUAGGAGAGGGAAGAAAGGCGGGAGAAAGAAAGUUAGUGGAAGGGAAGAGAGCUUUAAAAUAAAGGUCGGCACUCUGGAAGGUGGAAGGGGAGUUUAUAAGAAGGAAAUGGGGAGGGAGGCCUAGGGAAGGGCCGAAGGGGGAAGCCACAAGCCGGAUGGUCGGCAAGGCAGGUGGUGUGUGAACAGUUUGAUUCCAGUGCCCUCUUGUCUACAGAAGUUGCAGAUAGACGUGGGAAAGAAAAUAGCUCUCUACUCAGUGGAUAUAAAGUUACUUAUUUAGGUUAUUACAAGAACGGCUGGCAUUUCUUCUUCAAAGGAAUUGGACUACGUCUCAGGAGUAGGCAGCAACGUGUAAACAGAGCUUUGCAGAGCAUCAGCAGGAAUAUGAGCUGUAUAAAUCCCGAACUACAGUAACAAGUUUGGUGAGUCCUGUGGUUUCAUUGCUAAGAUGAUCCACUAUGAUUCUUCCCUGCAUGAAAAAAACUCCACCUGCUGUGGUUCAGCUGCAUGGCAGUUCUGCAAUCGCCCUGGAAGGUUCCUUUGAUGGGAUUUUCUUCCUUCAGCUGAAAGUCUCAGAUUCAUGUCUUGGAAGUGCAGGACGUAUAUUUGAAAAACACUCAACCAAGGAUUGUGACAGACUUCCAGGGACAUGUGUCUCAUUAGAACAAUCCAUUUUUAAGUGUCCUUAUUCUGGGAGGAGUUCUUGUUUGUUUGCUUGUAGGAAAGCCCCCCCCCCCGUGGUGGGAAUCCCCAUGGCAACUGGGAGCAGCCCUGCUUGGAUGUCUGCUGCUGCCCCCCCCCAACUCCCUCAGGGAACAAAGGCAUAUGCCACUCCACCAGGAAACCAAUGGAUGUGCUUGUUGGGCUCCAGCUCCUCGAGGCUCCAGCUCCUCAUCCCCCAUGCCAUGCCUCUCAC
Molecule: non-coding RNA, 1618 nt
Organism: Pogona vitticeps (central bearded dragon)
Lineage: Eukaryota; Metazoa; Chordata; Lepidosauria; Squamata; Agamidae
Source: RefSeq, a predicted model, not a curated record